UGACCUUUCCAUUCGAUAAUAGGCAAAUUUAUUGAUACACAGUGGUAAUGAUGGGUACCCCUGAACUUUCACUAUGCAUUUUCUACUUCGGGAACAGCUUUGUAUGUUUUGAAAAGUAUUUUAUCUAACCAAGGGCAUAGAGUAGGUUGUUUAGGCUGGGAGAGAUCUCUUGUUGCUUAGUUGCUUAAUUGCUGGCCUCGCUAGAAGGAAAGCUGUAUCAACAAAGUCCGGAGCUGGAAGGGGGGUUACUUGAUGGGCUUGCUAUACAUUUCGUCACAUCAGCAAGUUUAACCUGUUACGUAGCUAUAUAAGGCAGACGCCCACUGAGGUGUGUGUGCUUGCUUUGCGAAUGAUUACCAAGCACCACUUUCUGCGCAGAAAUAAAGAUUAAGUUGGAUCCUUCAACCCUGUGUGUUUAUUGGCACAAGUGCACCGGGCACGCACUCACCGUUGUUUGGGGACAACAAUUUCUGGCGACUCAGAUGGGACCCUAGCUGACUGCCUUGCCCAGUCCACCUCUUCGGCUCCGGCAACAACUGUGGACGGCGCGAGGGCCAGGCGCCACCGACCUUAUUCGUCGGAGGUCUGACCGUCUCCUGGUUGCCUGACGGAGUCGGGGAGGGGCACAACGGCGCAACGCUCAAAGGACCAACUUAAUCAGGUGGGGCGAGGGAGGUUUCAAUGGACUGAUAUGUCCAGGAACGACUUCCACUCCCUCUAGAUACACCAGUCCACAAGUUCCAGAUCGGAGACAAGGUACUGGUCCGGGCGUGGAAAGACGAGCUGCUUCAGCCCAGGUGGAAGGGACCGUAUCCUGUGAUUCUUACUACUCACGCUGCAGUGAAGGUUCAGGGGGUAAAACCGUGAAUACACUACACCCGGGUGAAGGCCGUACCAGAAGUACCACCUGCAGGAGAAGUUGCUGAGAGUGUCGCACCAGAAGCCGACACAAACGGACACCGUUGGACAGCAGAACCAGUAGCAGGACUCAAAUUUCACUCAUUUUUGUUUGGCAGGUGGAAUAUCGGUUGAUGAUAUUUUCACGUCAUGCCUUAUAGGGGUGCCCACUCCAAUGGAAGCACUCCAGAAUACAGUCACCUCCCCUGGUAACACCAGGUGUGCCAAUUUUGUGAACUGUACCUAAGCUUGCAAAAGCCUAACCAAAGAAAUGAAAAUUUUCAAUUGCUCAGACAUGACUAAUGUAUCUUGCAACUACGUUCAUGUUAUAUUACCCCGGGGGUGGUUCCUCCUUUGUGGGAAGACUGCCUAUUCAUAUAUCCCAGCCAAUGCCACAGGAGGCCCUUGUGCUCUAGGCCGGUUGACUGUCUGGCUACCAGGUAUGCCUAAGAUCUCUAGUAAGCAUCACCGGAGAGGUUCGAAGGUGCUAGAUAAAUCCUGUGAUAGUGACAUAAACCUCCUGAGUGAGGCCGAGGUAGUGUCCUUAGCAGUUUUCCUAGUAGGGGUGCCAGGCCUAGUAGUGGAUGCUGAGAGGCAGCUUGGUAAGGUGGCCUGUGCCCUGGCAAAGGGCCUAAAUACAACUUCACAGGCCCUAGCUGCCCUCAAUAUUGAAAUGAAAGAACUAAGAGGAGCUACUCUGCAAAAUAGAGCAGCCAUAGAUUAACUGUUGCUGAGGCAUAACCACAGAUGUGAAGAGUUCGAGGGAAUGUGUUGUUUUAAUUUUGAAAGAUAACUCCGAGUUGAUAGAGUCAAAAGUGCAGAAGUUAAAAAAAAAAAAAAAAAAUUCUGUCCCACAUUAAGCAAGGGGAAGGGUUCGACUUCUCAUGGCUUACUUCUUGGCUUCCUAAUUUUUCAUGGCUUAAGCAAAUUUUCCUAUUAAUUGUGGCAAAUAUGUGUAUUUUCUUGACGAUCUGUUGUGGGAUACAGUGUGCGCCAAUGUGUUGUGAGAUACUCAAGAAAUCAAUUUCUUCCCCAGUUCACCGCGUGAUGUUUGUAAAAUCAUCAGUUACAAACCCGAUCCAAAACAAUCGGGAGGAAGCAAAAAGAUUUCUGGAGAUGAGACAGAUAGUCGAGAACUAUGGGCCUUUUCCAUAAGGGCCAUAGUCUCGAAGUGGGGAUUUGAUGGGUACCCCUGAACUUUCACUAUGCAUUUUCUACUUCGGGAACAGCUUUGUAUGUUUUGAAAAGUAUUUUAUCUAACCAAGGGCAUAGAGUAGGUUGUUUAGGCUGGGGAGAUUGCUUGUUGCUUAGUUGCUUAAUUGCUGGCCUUGCUAGAAGGAAAGCUGUAUCAACAAAGUCUGGAGCUGGAAGGGGGGUUACUUGGGGGGGAGCUGGAAGGGGGGUUACUUGAUGGGCUUGCUAUACAUUUCAUCACAUCAGCAAGUUUAACCUGUUACGUAGCUAUAUAAGGCAGACGCCCACUGAGGUGUGUGUGCUUGCUUUGCGAAUGAUUACCAAGCACCACUUUCUGCGCAGAAAUAAAGAUUAAGUUGGAUCCUUCAACCCUGUGUGUUUAUUGGCACAAGCGCACUGGGCACAAAAUCACCGUUGUUUGGGGACAACAGUAACAGAAAAAAAAAUACAAACAAUCAAGCAAUUCUGUAUAUCUACCAAAUUCUAGGGCUGUCAUCAGAGUCAAAGUACAUCCGGUCUGGAUGCAGGCUCCACUCUGAGGCUCAUUUUUUUAGGUGUCAGAUGUCAGCAGUCUGGAGGUGGGAUGCUGAGGCCCACACCCCCCUCCAGUGGGGUACAUGAGACGGGCCGCUGGUAUGCCCUUGGUCCAUGGUGGCCUCCAGGACCCUUCCCAGGGGAUGGGGACAGGGAUGGGGACCCCUCUCAAGGAGGAGGAGGAGGAGGAAACUGGGUAGGACAGGGAGGGGCUGAAAGGAAGAGAGUGAGGGACAGAAAAGAAUGGAAGGAGGAACAGGGAGGGACUCCUGUUACUCUCAAGUAUCUGCUUUUGUAUUCUCCUUCCCCCUCUGAUGACUCCUGAUGACACUUCACCCGUGGCUAUCUUUGAUUGAUUGUCUCUCUGUGGUCACACAUCCACGUAGCCUUCUGGGCGUAAUACUAAUUUGGUCUGUUCCCCCAAAACCGGGACUCAGGACCCCCCACUGCUCUGGGGCCUUGUAGCUGGUGUCACUUAUUUCAUAUUAUGGGUAGCAUGGUACAUACUCCUUUGGUUCCUAGACUUUGUGUCCUUGUUGUGUUAGACAACCAGUUUGCUGUGAAGGCUGUUAUCUUAUGCUAUGGGAUGACCCUUCAAUUCUUAGGCUAUGUGUGUAUCCAUUGGCUUUGUUGUGUUAGGCAGCCUGUCUACUUCCAAGGCUGGGUGAAACUCUGUGUGUAAGCCCCAAGCUCUUUGAAAUCAAUUAACCCCUGCUGCCCAUCUUGAACACUUAUAAUGCAUAUAUCUAUACCUAUAAACCAAUUCCCCAGAAAACAGACCUUUAAAUACCAUUUUCAAGCCAACCCAGUAGAAGUUGCACAGUAUGCUGUAAGUUCUGAGUGGAACUGCUUCAGUGAGGUGCUACUUGCUGCUGCUACUACCCUGAAGAAAUUGUUAUUUUUUUUCAAUUAGUGAUUCAAUUUUCUUCCUUUUAAUGGUGUUUGGUAAGCAGGUAUAAAAUAGCAAUAUUGGUUUCCUCCCCUAAAGGUGGUAGGUAUAGGGAUAACUUAGGAAACUAUGGCAAAAUUUCCAAUUUUCCCUCAAAAGCCUGGGAGCAAUGGCAGAGAGGGACCUUCACUGAAUUCAGGCUACCUCUAAGGAAGAUAAGAGGGAUGUGGAGAAUUUAUUCUUAGCUUUCCUUACUCUUACUUUUUAUUCAGCUAAGGCCCAAGCAAAGGAUUGUGUUCAACAACUACCUGUGCUAGAGGCCAAAGCAUAAUCUACCCUGUUGGGCACCUAAGAGCAAUCCUAUUGCAUUGUCCUGAAGUUUCUGAAAAAAAUAUUAAUACAGAAAGUGCUCACUGCUUUUGUGUUUUAAACUGAGAUGACAGUACAUUACGAGAAUGAAUGAAUUAAUAGAUUUUCAGGCACUCAACCAGAACAGAAUAGAAUCACACUAAGGUGCCCAAUAGGUAGAAUAGUAUCUUGUAGUUUGUUUAUCUUUAGUGCCAGCACGGAUUCCAGUUUUUAAAUAAUAGCUAUAUAUAUAUACUGAUUGACCCCAUUGGAGUGCUUGUAUUCUGUAGAAUUGGAAUGAUUUGUCCAUCCUUAUGAUACAUGCAUAUCUUAGGUGGGCAUCUCUUCUGUAAAAAAUGCCAUGUAUAUAUGCAUAUACUCACUGUUAUUACCAGUUUAGUGCUUAUCCAUGAAGUAAGUAAAUACAUAAACAAGUAAUUUAAUCAGAGGCAUUAGGAAAGACCAUUCUUAAAUAAAGGAAAAGGCUGUUAGAUUGUUAUCUGCUAUCAGAUUAUUAUUGCGCAUUUAUUCUAAACUAGCCUCUGUUAUAGGAUUCAUUAUGUUGCUUGUUAGAAAUGACAGCCUGACAGCUCUGUUGUUUCUCUGGGUCAGUUUCAUCUCCGUUAUUGAAUACUGAAACCUCAUUAACUUGCUGCUAGGCCUCCAGAACUUCAUGGAUUGCUGUCUACAUAUGUGAGUGUGCAAUAACAAGUACUUUCUCAUUGUUUGUACUGUUUAGGAAAGGCUGCUUUACCCAGGGAAAAGGGGCUUUGAUAUUCUAGGUGCCACAGUAGGUAUGAGAUUAAUGUAUGAGAGUCAUUGCCAGGGAUAUUUGACAUGCAUGGUAGUUUUGACUUUGUUAUGGAAAUUUGAUAUUUCUUUUCAUGUUGUUUCCAAAAUUGUGGCCUGUAGCUACUCUGCUUACUAGCUUUUUUCUUUUUUCAGUCUUGCACAAGAAGAUUAUUAGAGCACUAAACACUUCCAUUCAUAAGCACACCUUGCACAUCUAGCCCUAACAAGCUCUGAUUUAGAAGCACACAUGCUACAAAUGUCUGUUAGGCUUAUCCCAGAAUGUACAGUAUCCCCUAAAUCUGCAUUCAUACUCCAGGGUCACAGUUAUCAUUUUAUUAUUAUUGUAUUACCUUUAUAUUGCUUUAAUUAGUAAAAGAUUAUGAGAUUAGGCCUCCCUAUGGUGCCACUUCACAAAGAGUAGUCUUUACUCCCAAAGGGAUAUCCUUGUAGUACCUUAUCACAUUGAUACAUUGGCCUCUUCAAAUGCAGUCAAUAUACAAACACAUAUCUAGAUGAGGGAAGGUAUGCGUGCAUUAACAUAUCUAGCAGUUUGCUGGACUUUUCAUAUAUGUUUAAAUUGUGUAUUAUUGCUAUCUAGGUUACACUUAAAAUACUGGGGACUUGAUAUUUCUUUCCAUUAAUUUACAAAUGUAUAAUGGAGCAUAUGGUCUGGUGGCUUAACUGUGCAAAAGAUAAAUCAGCAAGCUACAUCAAGAGAUAUUUCAAGACUCAAACUUUUUUUACCAAAAAGCCUUACUUGCUUUUCUGUGAAGGCUGAACAAGAAGGGCUUUCCCAUGGACCUUAUUCAAUGUCAAUUUGAUGUUGGGUCCUGGGUUUUACAGGACAGUGUCUGUUUCAGAACUCUUUACCACCAUCCCAGGCAACAUCAUUCUUGGCAGUUUUGCUGUAAGCAUAAGACUAAUCUGGAGGUAUAGUUUUACAGUUUGUGUACCCCCAGUGAUGGAUCUUUACGGUUUAGGAUUGAGGCAUUUUUUUCAGAACAGAAUAGGAAAGCACAAACUUUGAAUUGUAUCUGUUUUGAGUACUUAGAGUACUUCAGUAUUCAAGGAUAUAAACCCACUGCCUGUCUUGUAAUUGGAAAGAAACAACCACCUGUUCACAUUUUGUUUUCUUAGUGAUGCAUACAAAUACAGAAUAAAAGAAACUGAGCUAAAUUAGCCUCAUUGCAUCAUUGUGCAAUUGUUAAAUAAGUAACUUGUGUUUAUUAGUUCUCUUACGAGACUUUCAAAAUGCUUGUGUUAGAGCCUAGCCUUCACUCUUAUUCAGUUAGUAAUAAUACUUUGAUAGUGCCAUGUCAGUGCUUUGUGGAGUCUUACAGGGUAAAGAAUAUCAAUGCAGUACUAAAAGUAGCCCUGAAAAAGCACUAAACAAGAACUACAGUGUUUAAAACUAGUGUGUGCAGAAAAUGCUUAAGGACUAUGAUAUUUAACAAACAUGGUUUUCUAAUUGUUUUUCAUAUUUCUAAACUGUGAAUAAAUUGGCACUCUUCAUAGUGAUGAACUUUCUUCCAAGAUUUCUGUAGAGGUAGUAAACAGCCUGCUUUAAUUAAUUUAGGGUGAAGUCAACAGGAGAUAUUGCAGAUAUUUCAGAUACAGUUGACAUCUGGUAUAAUGUAACAUGUUAUAUUAAAAUGAAAUUCUUAACUACUCUGAUUUAGUAAUUGAAUAAUAAAUAAUAUCUGUAUUAUUCCAAAAUAGCAAAGACCUUUUAUAAGUAAUUUACCUGUACAACAACCUCUGACUUAAGAAAAGUAUCAUUGUGGCCAUUUCACAGAUGAGAAAAUUGAAGCACAGAGAUUUUAAGGCCAGCAUUUCAAACGCAGAUGUCUAAAGUGGGGAAGCAAAGUGCCUAUGAUUCUUAAAGAUGCUGAGUACUACAUUUCCUAAUGAGAAAGUAAAGUCAAAGGCUGCUUCCUCCAACCAAAGCAACAAGGAUUGUCCAACCUCACUGUGAAGUUCUUCAGAAAACAGAAAUAGCGUGACAUACGAUUAACUAGGAGCAGUGGUGUAAUUAGGGUGGGGUACCUGCCUUUGGUGCCAGCGUAGGAAAGGGUGGGAGUGGAAAAAACCUGCUGCUGCUGCAGCCGUACAAUUGCAAUAGUGGCAGCAAGAAGUGGCCUCCUGGAGUGCCUCCAUGUGUUGUAGGUGUCCUGGGCACUCAGUUGCAUGGUUAUGCCUCUGGCUAUUUGCCCAGCCCAUCUGCUAAUAUCCCAUAUUUGUGGAGUUGAAAAUUUUGUUUGCCACCUCAUCUUGCCUUUUCACAAUAGCCAUUUUAUAAAUAUAGCAUGAGAGAGAAAGGAAAAGAGGAUGAAAUGUCAUGAUAAAUAUAUAUGGUAAAAGGGAUAGACACAGUAGGGAACAAAGACAUAUGGCAAUAUGAAUGAAGAACGAUAUUUAACAAAAGAAAUAAAUGGCAUAUGUAGUUUAGACACCUGAGUAGGGACAGUUUAGAUGAAGAUGAAAGAUAGGCAAAUUAAAACCUAAAAAUCAUUGGAAAUUGGAAUAGACUUCCUAGGCAGGGUUUAGAAGCAAAGGAAGAUAAGGAAAACCAGUACAAAGGAUGGAUCAUUAAUCAUUGGGAUUUCAAUUAGCUGAUAUUGACUGGACUGUCAAUUUAGAAUUGAUAACAAAAGGUGCCUCUUCCUGCAGGUAAUACAGGACUCUUUCCUGGUACAUCCUGAGAAUUAUCCAGUAGAAACAUUAGCUAUUAUAUACUUAGGCCCAAUGUUGCUGAGAAAUAAGACAAGGAAGAUAAAUAAGAUAGGAGUUGAGAGUCAUCUAAAAUCUAGUGAUCACAAUGUCAUCUGAAAUCCAAAUGCCCUUGAGGGCAUUUGGAGUAAUAUCUCAAAAUUACUAGACUUUAAAAUAUAGAUAUAUAAAAAUAGACCUUCAGUGAAUGGGGAGUGGAUUUGGGGUGAAGGAUGGAAGGUGUUGAUUAAAAUCAAUUUAUUUUUCAGAAAAUUCACUAUGAAAAACCAUUCUGAUGGCAGAAUAGCAGCCCUGAGUACUGACCCUUAACAUAUACCCCAUUUAAUGAGUAAUGCUUGCAUGAAUAGUGAAGAUAAGCUGGUUUUAGAAAUGAUUUGUAUGUUUUCUUGGAAAAUAUACCUGAUACACAAACCCUGUAAGGAAAUAUUUUGAUGGAUAUUCUCUGUCUUUCACUUUAAAAUGCUGUUUGCCUACUCUAAUGCCUGGAAGUGAGAUGUUUCAGUAAUAAUUUUGAGUGGUCAGUAGAUGUGAAAAAACCCAAAAAACAGAUCACAAUAAACAAUUCAGACCUCAAGAAUAAGAGCAAAAAGAAAGACAUGUUAAGACAAAUUUUCAGCAGUAACAUUAUCAAUACAAGGAUUAGGUUAGAUAUCCUUAAGACAAGGAGUGGGGACAAUUUUUUUUUGUUUCCUUUUACACAGUACCUUUCACAGUGGGCUUAUGAUCUGUGUCUGGGUUUCAUCGCAUCCCUGCAAUACUAAUAACUAUUAUUUGUUGUUCUACUUCCUGGAUUCUCAAAUUAUAUAAUUUUUGUAUUAAAAAUGUCUUGUUCCUGUUGAAGCUUUUAUGGACAUGAUGUGAUGCCAUAAAUGAUAUUAAGAUUUUAUAUGUUUAUUUGCUA
Alligator mississippiensis (American alligator) is the source of this 8285-nucleotide long non-coding RNA. RefSeq lists it as uncharacterized. The transcript is spliced from 2 exons. The record is from RefSeq and is a predicted model, not a curated record. NCBI's taxonomy places the organism in Eukaryota, Metazoa, Chordata, Crocodylia, Alligatoridae.